Sinocyclocheilus rhinocerous is the source of this 712-nucleotide long non-coding RNA. RefSeq lists it as uncharacterized. Lineage: Eukaryota; Metazoa; Chordata; Actinopteri; Cypriniformes; Cyprinidae. The transcript is spliced from 3 exons. The record is from RefSeq and is a predicted model, not a curated record.
UCAUCAUUCACAGAAAGCACGAGGCAGCCGCGAGAGAAGAAAACGAUACAAACAGCGACAUAAGACAGUUUGGACACGUUCGCAACAGUUUUAAUUUGCUUUAGAUAAUAAAUAUUAUGGCGAAUGAGUUCGCGAAGAGUAGUUUUACAGAGGAAAAGGUCUCGUUUUGGUCAGGUUUUAAGGCAAACCCAUCCAUUUUGAGAAGAAGAGUUAUUCAGUUCACGGAUGUUUUAUUGAUGCCGAGCCACCCAACUAAGCCUGAAGAAACUUCACAUAGGCAAAAGAAGAUUCAUCGCUCCGGAAUAACAGACCUGGAUCUCAAGACCUGUGCUGAGACAGUUCAAGUUACCAGAUUUUGAUCAGUACCCCCCCCCCAUGCCUCAGAAGAAAAGUGUUUAAUUCAUAUGAGAGGAUUCUGCAACCUCACGAGAACGCCUGUCAGUAUUGAUCUAGUGUCUAUAAGCCAUACAAAUACUGUACUUCAUUUUCAUCAGCCAGUUUCUGAAAUCACUGAUGCAACUAAUUAUGCAUUUGGUAAGACAAGAGCUAAUAAGAUGAAUCUGCUGCAGUCACUGAGGUAAAUACCUGAAGGACACCAAAUCCUUGAGGAUAAAUUAGUUCUUUACAAACAUUUCCAUCAUCUUGUGACAUUCUUGUGACCUGAGCGAAGUGACUGGAAUAAUAAUGUAAAUAUUGUUUUUAUAAAAUCUGU